AUGCACGCUGGCGGCGUGCCUCAUCCAUGCCAGUCGCGCGAACAGACGAGGAGCUUGCUCCUCUGACGUUAGCGGCGGACGGGUGAGUAACACGUGGAUACCUACCUAUAAGACUGGGAUAACUUCGGGAAACCGGAGCUAAUACCGGAUAAUAUAUUGAACCGCAUGGUUCAAUAGUGAAAGACGGUUUUGCUGUCACUUAUAGAUGGAUCCGCGCCGCAUUAGCUAGUUGGUAAGGUAACGGCUUACCAAGGCAACGAUGCGUAGCCGACCUGAGAGGGUGAUCGGCCACACUGGAACUGAGACACGGUCCAGACUCCUACGGGAGGCAGCAGUAGGGAAUCUUCCGCAAUGGGCGAAAGCCUGACGGAGCAACGCCGCGUGAGUGAUGAAGGUCUUCGGAUCGUAAAACUCUGUUAUUAGGGAAGAACAAAUGUGUAAGUAACUAUGCACGUCUUGACGGUACCUAAUCAGAAAGCCACGGCUAACUACGUG
This 495-nucleotide ribosomal RNA is filed under the name uncultured bacterium. Its description in RNAcentral is "partial 16S ribosomal RNA". It matches the Rfam family "Bacterial small subunit ribosomal RNA", at positions 29 to 507 of the family's 1533-position model. The record is from RNAcentral.